This 253-nucleotide ribosomal RNA is filed under the name uncultured bacterium. RNAcentral's name for it is "partial 16S ribosomal RNA". It matches the Rfam family "Bacterial small subunit ribosomal RNA", at positions 524 to 776 of the family's 1533-position model. The record is from RNAcentral.
CACGUAGGAGACUAGCGUUAUUCGGAUUUACUGGGCGUAAAGCGCGUGCAGGCGGUUCGGUUAGUUGGAUGUGAAAGCUCCUGGCUUAACUGGGAGAGGUCGUUCAAUACUGCCGGACUUGAGAGUGGUAGAGGGAGUUGGAAUUCCGGGAGUAGUGGUAAAAUGCGUAGAUAUCCGGAAGAACACCAGUGGCGAAAGCGGACUCCUGGACCAUUUCUGACGCUCAGACGCGAAAGCUAGGGGAGCGAACGGG